RNAcentral lists this ribosomal RNA (387 nucleotides) under uncultured bacterium. Its description in RNAcentral is "bacterial SSU rRNA". It matches the Rfam family "Bacterial small subunit ribosomal RNA", at positions 29 to 416 of the family's 1533-position model. The record is from RNAcentral.
AUUGAACGCUGGCGGCAUGCCUUACACGUGCAAGUCGAACGGCAGCGCGGGGGCAACCCUGGCGGCGAGUGGCGAACGGGUGAGUAAUGCAUCGGAACGUGCCCAGUCGUGGGGGAUAACGCAGCGAAAGCUGCGCUAAUACCGCAUACGAUCUAUGGGUGAAAGCGGGGGACCGUAAGGCCUCGCGCGAUUGGAGCGGCCGAUGUCAGAUUAGGUAGUUGGUGGGGUAAAGGCUCACCAAGCCAACGAUCUGUAGCUGGUCUGAGAGGACGACCAGCCACACUGGGACUGAGACACGGCCCAGACUCCUACGGGAGGCAGCAGUGGGGAAUUUUGGGACAAUGGGCGCAAGCCUGAUCCAGCAAUGCCGCGUGCAGGAAGAAGGCC